UACAGAGGGUGCGAGCGUGUCCGGAAUCACUGGGCGUAAAGGGCGCGUAGGCGGCGCGGUAAGCGUGCGGUGAAAGCCCGGGGCUCAACCCCGGGUCGGCCGUGCGGACUGCCGGGCUGGAGCACUGUAGAGGCAGGGUGGAAUUCCGGGUGUAGCGGUGGAAUGCGCAGAUAUCAGGAGGAACACCGGUGGCGAAGGCGGGUCUCUGGGCAGUAACUGACGCUGAGGAGCGAAAGCGUGGGGAGCGAACAGG
RNAcentral lists this ribosomal RNA (253 nucleotides) under uncultured bacterium. Its description in RNAcentral is "partial 16S ribosomal RNA". It matches the Rfam family "Bacterial small subunit ribosomal RNA", at positions 524 to 776 of the family's 1533-position model. The record is from RNAcentral.